RNAcentral lists this ribosomal RNA (496 nucleotides) under uncultured bacterium. RNAcentral's name for it is "partial 16S ribosomal RNA". It matches the Rfam family "Bacterial small subunit ribosomal RNA", at positions 29 to 507 of the family's 1533-position model. The record is from RNAcentral.
AUGAACGCUGGCGGCGUGCCUAAUACAUGCAAGUCGAGCGAACAGACGAGGAGCUUGCUCCUCUGACGUUAGCGGCGGACGGGUGAGUAACACGUGGAUAACCUACCUAUAAGACUGGGAUAACUUCGGGAAACCGGAGCUAAUACCGGAUAAUAUAUUGAACCGCAUGGUUCAAUAGUGAAAGACGGUUUUGCUGUCAUUUAUAGAUGGAUCCGCGCCGCAUUAGCUAGUUGGUAAGGUAACGGCUUACCAAGGCAACGAUGCGUAGCCGACCUGAGAGGGUGAUCGGCCACACUGGAACUGAGACACGGUCCAGACUCCUACGGGAGGCAGCAGUAGGGAAUCUUCCGCAAUGGGCGAAAGCCUGACGGAGCAACGCCGCGUGAGUGAUGAAGGUCUUCGGAUCGUAAAACUCUGUUAUUAGGGAAGAACAAAUGUGUAAGUAACUAUGCACGUUUUGACGGUACCUAAUCAGAAAGCCACGGCUAACUACGUG